This 493-nucleotide ribosomal RNA is filed under the name uncultured bacterium. Its description in RNAcentral is "partial 16S ribosomal RNA". It matches the Rfam family "Bacterial small subunit ribosomal RNA", at positions 30 to 507 of the family's 1533-position model. The record is from RNAcentral.
AGUGAACGCUGGCGGUAGGCCUAACACAUGCAAGUCGAACGGCAGCACAGUAAGAGCUUGCUCUUACGGGUGGCGAGUGGCGGACGGGUGAGGAAUACAUCGGAAUCUACUUUUUCGUGGGGGAUAACGUAGGGAAACUUACGCUAAUACCGCAUACGACCUACGGGUGAAAGCAGGGGAUCUUCGGACCUUGCGCGAUUGAAUGAGCCGGUGUCGGAUUAGCUAGUUGGCGGGGUAAAGGCCCACCAAGGCGACGAUCCGUAGCUGGUCUGAGAGGAUGGACGGCCACCCUGGGAAGGAGACAACGCACAGACCCCUACGGGAGGGAGACGGAGGGAAUUUGUGGAAAUGGACGGAAGGCUGGCACAGCCACGCCGGGGGGGGGAAGAAGGGUGUUGGGUUGUAAAGCUCUGUUGUUAGAGAAGAAAGAGCGUGAGGGUAUACCCCUCCUGUUGUGACGGUACCAAAAAAAAAAGCGCCGGCUAACUUCGUG